UACGGGAUGCAGCAGUAAUGGCAUCUAUCGCCAUGAUCGUACGUUCGAACCGAGCCAUCGCCUGCGUGAAGUGAUGUAUGUUUCGCAUCGUCAAUGCUCUGUGGUAGGAAAGACCAAGUACCGCUCGAUAGGGCGUACCUUGACGGUACCUAACCAGAAGCCACGACUACUACGUGCCAGCAGCCGCGUAAUUACGUAGGUGGCAAGCGUUGUCCAGAAUAUUGGGCAGUAAAGGGCUCGCCGGCCUGCUUCAUUAAGUUUGAUGUGAAAGCCCCGCCGGCCUCCAACCGCGGAGGGUCAUUGGAAACUGGGGAACUUGAGUGCAGAAGAAGGAGAGUGGAACUCCCACGUGUAGCGGUGAAAUGCGUAGAGAUGUGGAGGAACACCAGUGGAGAAGGCGACUCUCUGGUCUGUAACUGACGCUGAGGAGCGAAAGCGUGGGGAGCGAACAGGAUUAGAUACCCUGGUAGUCCACGCCGUAAACGAUGAGUGUAAGUGUUAGGGGGUUUCCGCCCCUUAGUGCUGCAGCUAACGCAUUAAGCACUCCGCCUGGGGAGUACGGUCGCAAGACUGAAACUCAAAGGAAUUGACGGGGGCCCGCACAAGCGGUGGAGCAUGUGGUUUAAUUCGAAGCAACGCGAAGAACCUUACCAGGUCUUGACAUCCUCUGACAAUCCUAGAGAUAGGACGUCCCCUUCGGGGGCAGAGUGACAGGUGGUGCAUGGUUGUCGUCAGCUCGUGUCGUGAGAUGUUGGGUUAAGUCCCGCAACGAGCGCAACCCUUGAUCUUAGUUGCCAGCAUUCAGUUGGGCACUCUAAGGUGACUGCCGGUGACAAACCGGAGGAAGGUGGGGAUGACGUCAAAUCAUCAUGCCCCUUAUGACCUGGGCUACACACGUGCUACAAUGGACAG
This 912-nucleotide ribosomal RNA is filed under the name Bacillus subtilis. RNAcentral describes it as "bacterial SSU rRNA". It matches the Rfam family "Bacterial small subunit ribosomal RNA", at positions 340 to 1237 of the family's 1533-position model. Lineage: Bacteria; Bacillati; Bacillota; Bacilli; Caryophanales; Bacillaceae. The record is from RNAcentral.